Molecule: ribosomal RNA, 253 nt
Filed under: uncultured bacterium
Lineage: Bacteria
Description: partial 16S ribosomal RNA
Rfam family: Bacterial small subunit ribosomal RNA
Source: RNAcentral
UACGUAGGCAGCGAGCGUUGUUCGGAGUUACUGGGCGUAAAGAGUGCGUAGGCGGUUUUCUAAGUUUGGUGUGAAAUCUCCCGGCUUAACUGGGAGGGUGCGCCGAAAACUGGAAGGCUUGAGUAUGGGAGAGGUAAGCGGAAUUCCUGGUGUAGCGGUGAAAUGCGUAGAUAUCAGGAGGAACACCUGCGGCGUAGACGGCUUACUGGACAAUAACUGACGCUGAGGCACGAAAGCGUGGGUAGCAAACAGG